Molecule: long non-coding RNA, 266 nt
Filed under: Homo sapiens (human)
Lineage: Eukaryota; Metazoa; Chordata; Mammalia; Primates; Hominidae
Description: HSALNT0348603
Source: RNAcentral
GCCUGGGGAGGGCGCCUGCGCGUCGGGCAGCCCAGGCUCGGUAUUCUGUCGAAUGGAGGAACCUCACCUUGGAUGUCCCCAUGGAGCCUUGGAGGGAUGCAGAAGACAGGAUUGGCCAGCGACAGUCAAAGUGGCCGGCACCCCCCUCUACCAGCUCCCCAGUUCCUGGAGGCUGGGGGCCAAAAGAAAGACACAGGCUACUUUGACAACCUGAAAGCGAACUCCAGAAAUAUCACCAACAGCAUGACCUUUUUGACCAAAUCCAG